Molecule: long non-coding RNA, 203 nt
Filed under: Lathyrus oleraceus (garden pea)
Lineage: Eukaryota; Viridiplantae; Streptophyta; Magnoliopsida; Fabales; Fabaceae
Description: Pisum sativum (pea) long non-coding RNA (PSAT_LNC023221)
Source: RNAcentral
GAGAAUUGAUGGGAUUUAGUGAGAAAAAUAAUGGUACAAGUAUUGAGAAGAUGAGUUGGUAAAAGGUAGUAAAGAGGGAAAUUAAUUUUGGUCAAGGGAAGGGAGAAGUGCGUGGGUUUUGGAUGUGGUAAAGAGGGAACAAAUGUUGAAAAUUCAUAUGAGGGUCUGCUAGGGUUUGAAAAACGUUUUGACCAAUAUUCACG